Molecule: non-coding RNA, 29 nt
Filed under: Mus musculus (house mouse)
Lineage: Eukaryota; Metazoa; Chordata; Mammalia; Rodentia; Muridae
Source: RNAcentral
UCCUAAGCGCCAAACUCUGAAAGUUUGUU